AUGACGUGGCUGUAUCUGUCAGACUUUUUAGGAUCCAGCGCUCCUCACAGAUGUGGCCUGCACCCCAGAAGGACCGCAGGGGACAGGAGAUACAGAAGUUUGUUUUCUGUUGCUCUGAUCAACACCAUGACCACAAAGCACCCUGGAGAAGAAACUGUCCAUCCUGAAACUGUAGAGGACCACUGCUUCCUCUGCGCCUGCUCAGCUAUCAGGACUGCCUCACAGACAUAUCCACAGGCUGAUCCGAUGGAGGCACAGAGAUGCUCACAGGCCAAUCCGAUGGAGGCACAGAGACGCUCACAGGCCAAUCCGAUGGAGGCACAGAGACGCUCACAGGCCAAUCCGAUGGAGGCACAGAGACGCUCACAGGCCAAUCCGAUGGAGGCACAGAGACGCUCACAGGCCAAUCCGAUGGAGGCACAGAGACGUUCACAGGCCAAUCCGAUGGAGGCACAGAGACGCUCACAGGCCAAUCCGAUGAAGGCACAGAGAUGCUCACAGGCCAACCUGAUGGAGACAAGACUCCGUUGAGGUUCCCUCUUCCCAGAUGUCUCUAGCUUGUGUCAAGCUGACAAAAACUAAGCAGCGCACCUCCUUUCCCUCUCUGCAGCUGACCUCCAAGCUGGCUUGACUCAAAGGCUUUCUAAAUCCUCGCUCCUCUUCUUCAUUCUCCUCAGGAUGGGUGUUGCACUGGAGGCUAUCCAAACAUGAUCGAAAUAACCAUUUUAAAACCUGGGACCGGGACUGGUGAAAUGGCGUAGGGAUUAAGAGCACUGUAUAUGCUUUCAGAGGUCCUGAGUUCAAAGCCCACCAAUCACAUGAUGACUCAAAGCCAUCUAUCUAUACUGGGAUCUGCCUCCCUCUUUUGGCAUGCAGGUGUAAUGCAGAUAGAGUACUCAAAUACACGUAAAAUAAAUAGAUCGAAGAAAGAGGAGGAGGAGGAGGAGGAGGAAGACAGAACUGCAGUUUUGAUGGCUCAGCAUUCCCUCUGCUUCAGACCUGUGCUUAGCUGCUGGCUUGUAGACAUACAGUUGCUUCCACGGUACUACUGCAUGACGGCCCCUGGUCACUUAAAUGCAGUUGUCUAAAGCCCCACGAGCAUCGUCCUCAAACCAGUCCCUGUCCAGUCUCCAGGCAACAGAGCUGGAAGUUAUCCUCAGCUGACCGCACGCCCUCAUUCCUUGAAGAAAGAACCAGCUGGACAUCUUGUUUGCUUCUCUGCUGCUGUGAUAAAAUACCUUAAUAAAAGCAAUGCUGAUGUGCAGGGACCUGCUCUGCUCACA
Long non-coding RNA from Mus musculus (house mouse), 1283 nucleotides. RefSeq annotates it as predicted gene 10858. The transcript has 2 exons. The record is from RefSeq and is marked validated. NCBI's taxonomy places the organism in Eukaryota, Metazoa, Chordata, Mammalia, Rodentia, Muridae.